Molecule: long non-coding RNA, 3679 nt
Organism: Marmota monax (woodchuck)
Lineage: Eukaryota; Metazoa; Chordata; Mammalia; Rodentia; Sciuridae
Exons: 3
Source: RefSeq, a predicted model, not a curated record
CCUGGUGUACACCGGCAUGGUCCUCCAGGCGUCCUUUUCUAGCAUGCUAAGCCAUAGACAUAUUCAACCUCUGUCUCACACACAGCCCCUCCUCAGCAGGAGGGUUGAAUGGGGCUGAUGUGAAGGGCAGCAAAUUCCACCAGGAGACCCAGCAUGAGUCUGUUCUGAGCCCUCGUGGGGGCUCACAGAUCCUGUGGGCCAGGCCCCCUCUCCAGUGUGCUGCCAUCAGGGCAGAUGACAUUUCCAGCCUUGGCUGAGGUUCGACCUUGACUGAGUGCUGGGUGUUCCUCUGGUAAUUCAGCUCACCUCCCCCGCACUGGAGCCCUGGGAGCUGCAUUCUGGAGUCGGAGAGAAAUCAGGCUGGUGUCAGAUUCCACAGCCUUGGCUGUAGGACGGUACUGUUUGCUCUGUUAAGGGACUCUCUUCUUAACUUCUGGUGAACCUAGAAAGACCCAACGGAACAAAAUUAUUUUCUCAAACCUGGAAUAUGAAGCAAUAAAUAGAUCAAGAUAUAUACAAUUUAGAAGAUGAAGACAAGGAAGAGGAGGAGGAAGAAGAAUAAGAAAAUGAAGAUGAAGAAGGAGAAAAUAAAGAAGUAGGAAGAGAAGGAGGAGGAGGAAAAGAAGAAGGAGAAGAAAAUGAACCUCUGUGCAUUCUCUUUUCAGGCAUAGAAGGAUCAUCUCAGUAUCUCAGAAGCCUCUUUGACUUCUCAAAAUCCCUUCUUCCCUUUACCACUAGGAAACCUCUUUCCAAACUUUCCUUUUCUUUGUAGAUUUACAAUCCAUGCAAGUAUCCACAAAGGAUCUCUUGCUCGGUCUUGAGUGAGUAGCAAACACAACCUCAAUUGUUAUUAAAAAGUAGGUUCCUGGGAGAAGAUAGGUUCAAUUUCAUCUCCAGGUGCAAUUUUUUAGAUUUACUGUGCAGACAGUAUCCCUCUGGAAAGCUCGUGGGCAAUUCCGGGGUUGAACCUGGAAAAAUGGGCUCAAACACUGCUAAGGCAUCAAAUUGUGGGUCCAGCAGUGACAUGGUCUAUAAGACAGCUGCUCUCAUCUCUCCAGUUCUGACCUUCACUGUUCAGGAGAAGGCUAGAGGAGACGAUUUCUGUGAGGUGAAAUGAGGACCCUCAGCUGAUGCAAGCAGUAGGUCAUGGAGGAGAAAGAAUAAACGAUUAGAACAUGGACAAGAUAAGUAAAUAAGCUUAGCUGGGCACUCUGACCUUGAUUUUAAAGAAAGGCAGCAGGGAUCCUGCUCACAACCCUCUGGGCACCUCUCCGGGUGAGGGUGCUUCCAUCUGGAUUGUGUCCUCUGCUCAGCUCAGGGCCUCCCUUCAUCACCCCAAGGAUGCCUUUUUCUCUUUCUUUGUCGAUUUUCUCGUGUAUUCCAUGCCUUUUCUUUCUUGGUUUACUCUCUAAUUUUAGUAGUGUGCUUCCUUUAAUAGCUUUCUGAGAAAGAUUUUAUAGAAGAUCAAUUUCUGAGAACUUGUCUUAAGGUGUCUUUAUUUUAUACUCCUAUUCAAUCGAUAGUUUUCUUGGAUAUAGGAUAAUAAGUUCUGCAUCAUUUUUUUAAAAAAAUCUUUUUGCUUUUAGUGUCUUUCUUAAGAAGUCUAAAGCCCUGAUAUGGUUUGGAUCAAGAAUGUCCCCAGCAUCUCUUGGUCCCUCACUCAGCUAUGUUCAGAGGGAGCACUUUUAGGAAAUGAUUGGAUCAUGAGGGCUCUGACCUCAUCGAUGGAUUAAUUCAUUGAUAGCUGCAUGCACUGCUGGGAGUGGUAGAAAUUAUAGGCAGUCAGCACAGUUACAGGAAGUGGAUCAGUGGGGAUUUGUCCUGGAGGGAGACUUCUUGUGCUGGCCCCUCCCCUCCUUCCCACGUACUCUUUCUCUUUUUAUGCGUCCCUGUUGCAAUGAUCUGAGAAGUUGUCCUCUACUGUGCCCUUUCACCCUGAUGUUCUGCCUCUCCUCAGGCCCAAAGCAACGGAGCCAGCCAACCACACUGUCUGGGAACUUACAGGUUCUUUGGAAUGACUGCCGUGACUUGAAAUUUCACAUGAUGUAUUUUGGUGUGAAUCUCGGUGGUCACCUCAAGUUACUCAUGUCCUUAAGUUUUAAGGAUUAUCUUGAAUCAUUUCAUUGAUGAUUUCUGAUUUCCUUACUUUACUGUCUCUAAUUUCUUAAAAUUUAAGUGUCAGACCUCUUGGUUCUCUAAUUUUACUAUCUUCAUUUUCUGCUUCUCAUUUUUUGGUGUUUCUUACCAUUCUGGAAGAUUUCCUCAAAUUGACCCUCCAUCUAUUUUAUUGAGACAGUUAUUUUUGUCAUAAUAUUUGGAUUUCCAAGGUUUCUUUUUUGAUGUUUGAAUGAUUCUUAAAAAACCCCGGGGGCUGGGAUUAUGGCUCAGUGGCAGAGCACUUGCCUGGCAUGUGUGAUGCACUGGGUUCCAUCCAUAGCACCACAUAAAAAUGAAAUAAAGGUAUUGUGUGUUCACCUACAACUAAAAAAUAAAUAUUAAAAAAACACGCUGUGUUAUGUAGGCCAAAUUUUAUGACUUUGAAGAUAUUAAUUAUAUAAUAUAUAUAUAAUUUUACUAGUAGGGAUAUUAUAAGGUACCAUAAAUGUUUCUGAUUUUUAAAGUCUUUCAUUAUAUAAACAUAUAUGUAUAUACUAGUAUUUAUUUUCUCCAGGUUGAUUUUGUUCUAUUUGUUUUUUCAGUCUUCUCAGCCAUCUAUCAGUUCUUGGCUCCAAUAAGUACAGGGCUGAUUGGAAGUUCUGAAUUCAUAAUAAUUUUGAUCAUUUUCCCAUUAUACUGGGAUGUUGUAGAUGAACCAUUUGCUUGGGGGCCCCUAAUGUCAGUAUCUUAAGAUCUUUUCUCUCUCAUUCUCCAGAGAGUUUUUGAAUCUCCUACUGGAGAGGAAGGGUCUGUCCACCAGUGCAAUUGGGUUGAAUGAGAGGAAAAGGCUAGGGUAUCUCUGCAUGAAGCACUCGACAUACAGACUGUGUCUGAAGCCAUUACUGUGACUGGCGUUCCCUGGUGCUACUUAUGACUCUCUGUGCACUCACCAGAGAGGCAAGGAAGGAGUAGUGGCCCUGGGAGCAGCAUGAGCAAAGGGAUUUAGAGGUGGAUUUCUUCUCCAAGAGCUUCCAGCCAGUUCUCCUUAUUUCCCCUUCUUUACCCCCCCUCCCCCAUUCUGACUUUGUAAUCCUUGGACUAUCUGCAAUUCCCUUUCAAUUCUGCUUUCAAGCUGGACAUUCUAUUUGGAGCUUACAUUGUUUUUGUAGUCUCUUGUCAUAGGCCAACAAUAGAAGAAGACUUAUGACACCCAUGUUUUAUUCUCCCACUACUUGACUCAAGUCACAAGUUCAUUUGGUCCACAUUUCACAUUGUAGGCAACAUGCCACAUAUUUCAGAAUUUUUGCUGAUCGACAUCACCUUUCUGGUCCCAAUAUCUGUACACAUUAACUUCAAUUAAAUUAUGUUGCAAUAUUAAAUGCCCCCUCCAAAUCCUAGCACCCUGCAACAUCAAUGUUGGUUUCUUGCUUCUAUGCCUAUUAGCAACAGAUCACUCUUUGCUCUGUAGUUUUUGUUUUGUGAUUCAGUGUGAAGGAGCAGCUUCUCUUAGUCUAAAAGCAGAGGGAACAAAGCAAUGGCAGAACCAUGCAAUGACAUUAUGUAAAUUCCAUCAGAUAUAAAA